GCUACCAUGGCGGAGCGGUCGAACGCGGCGGCCUUAAGAUCCGCUCCUCUUACCCGAGGGCGCAGGUUCGAAUCCUGCUGGUAGCA
This is a non-coding RNA of Raphidocelis subcapitata, 86 nucleotides long. The record is from the annotation of a GenBank genome assembly. Lineage: Eukaryota; Viridiplantae; Chlorophyta; Chlorophyceae; Sphaeropleales; Selenastraceae.